Long non-coding RNA from Lingula anatina, 1937 nucleotides. Lineage: Eukaryota; Metazoa; Brachiopoda; Lingulata; Lingulida; Lingulidae. The record is from RefSeq and is a predicted model, not a curated record.
ACAGUAUUUUCUUGAAGAUAAACAUACAGUACACCACAACAGCAAGGCCAGUGACAAGAUUGGAGCCAGAAGGGUACAUUAGGUUUAGGAACAGAUCAAGCCGGUUGAUGGGUGUUUUAUCACCAGAUGUUAUAUGCUGUACACAGUGAUGAUGCCAGCAUGACAGAUAUAAUUCCACUUGGUCGGGGUACGACCUUUAUUCAAAUGGAAGAAAUCACAGCUACUCACACAAUUGCAUCGUAGCCUAAAUCACCAUCUGCAACUUCAACAUCUGACAUUCUGAUGAUGUUCUGUACUAAUGUAUACAACAUGGGACAUCAUCAGAAGUUGCUCAGUGUGCAAUAUGUUUUGGAGUAAAAUUCAAACAGCUGGCAUGAUUGACUGUACACUAGGGAUUAUCAGAUGUAGCAGAGGGGAGCUCUCUAAAGUUGCCCUGAGGUGCAGAAAACGCCCAGAGGGUUAAAGGUUCUAUUAAUCUUCACCCUGUACCAGUUAUGAAAAUCAAUAACUAAAUAACAACAUGGAAAUACAUAGAUAAUAUCUGUAAUUGUUUAGGCAUGGACAAAAUCAAUGUGUACAAGAAAUACAAUGUGAGGUGAAAAAUAAAAAGUGUAAAUAUAGCUGUCUAAAAGAGGUGAAAAAGUUGUACAAUACCAUGGUUGAAAACAGUUGUGCCAUUGAAAAAGUGUUAUGACAUUGAAAAAAAAUCAGUAUAAACACACCACAGAUUGCAGUACUAACAAAUGUUGAAAAAAGUGUAUCACAAUAUUGACGUAUAGAGUAGCAAGAUGUUCUUCUAUAUACUUACUUUGGUUUUCCAUAUUAUUCCGAGUCAGGUAUUCUCUGAGGCCCUAAUUGCCUCAUGUAAAUAGACCUUUUAAUUUACAGGCCAUGUACCCCUGUUCACAGAUAGAGAAAUGUAAUUUCCAGGUGAUUUCGCCAUAAUGGCAGAUGCUCCACCUAACUGAUUUAUCUAGGGGCCUCAAUUUGUGUUAUAGCCAAGAGAAUAAUACCGUUAAGUUUCUUCUGCAAUAACCUCAUGCAAAGUGACAAUUAAAACCUCAUUGGCAGUUCGAGAGAGUUAAUUCUUGCUUAUAGUUAUCUAGAAAAUACUGUCUAAAUAUACAGCUGAAAUAGCAUAAAGACAGUAUUUAGAAUAUUGAAGUAGGAUUGAAACACUGAUAUGAUAAGAUUUAUGAAUAAAGAAUCUGUAAAUUCUUAAGGGGAAAGUCUGGUGCAAUUAUUAAGGAAGCUGUUUGUCUUAUACUGUGCUUCAUCUGAUUUGCAAUUUAUAUUGACAUGUACUUGCAAACCUAUUACAUAUAACCCUAAUUUAAUCUUCUUAUCCAAUUUUUGUACAAAUAUAUUAAAUGAUUAUUGUAGAUGAUUAAAUGAGUCUAACUACAUUGUACUUAAUCUCAUCAUUGAUGCCAUGAAUAUUUCACUAGCAUUUGGAAAAGGCAUCUGGUUGAAUGGUACAAAUGAUGCUCUUUGCAGCACCAAGUAAUUGCACUAGGUUCACGAGUUGUCAAUUUUCCAUGGAUGUCAUGUUUCAAAGUAGGGAAUCUCAAAUUUACUUAGAUAAAUUUCAUUGAUUGGACCUUUUUCUAUCUAAACUUGCAAUAAAUGUGUCAUCUAUUAUACUGCAUUGAGUAAGAGUUGACAUAUUGAAUGCUAAGUGCUAAAUAACACGUACAUUUGAACAUCUAAACAUUUGUGAUUUAUAUCAGUUAGCCUACGGUUGGUACCCUUAAUUUCCCUUAACAUUCAUUUUUUUAUGGGGGGUGAAGUGGGAUGGAUAAAAAGUGCACUACUAAAAUUUUCCAUGGAAUUUGUGUAUCAGUUUCCAAUCAGUGAUAAACAUUCAACCUAAUUGAAUUUAAUUUCUGAACAUAACAGGGAUUAACUUCUCUACCCUUUUCACCCUGAGUGUCACA